UUGUGCGCAUUUUAACGACACACACGUUUCGGCACAUGCGAUGGGGUCCCGCUGGGGUAUCGUAUGGGAAGCGUGGAGGCUCAAC
Molecule: small RNA, 85 nt
Filed under: Legionella londiniensis
Lineage: Bacteria; Pseudomonadati; Pseudomonadota; Gammaproteobacteria; Legionellales; Legionellaceae
Description: t44 RNA
Rfam family: t44 RNA
About the family: This family consists of a number of bacterial RNA genes of between 135 and 170 bases in length. The t44 gene is found between the map and rpsB genes in all species in the full alignment apart from Shigella flexneri. The function of this RNA is unknown.
Source: Rfam by way of RNAcentral